AAACCUAAACCUAUAUCGCGUCGUCCACCAUAUACCGUCGCAACGCCGCCGCCACUUUCCUCCUCGCCACUGACCGUCCGACUAUCUCUCUCAGCCUCAUCUCCCUCUUCCCCUUCCUAGAUGGAUGCCCCUUCCUCUCCUGAUCAUGAUCAACACACGACGCCCUUGCUUCUCCGUCCAACCACACCGCAUCUCCUCCAACUCCUCCCUUUGGGUGAGAAGAGGAGCCCUUCUUCACAUUCUGAUAAUUUUUCCUUCAUUCAUCUCCGGUCCAGCAUUCACUGCCACCGCUGGAGUCCUCCAAAGUACUCAGACUAGUUUAUGUGUUUAUUAUUGUGCUCGAUCUGCUUUUGGUUGCUUUGUUGUGGAUGCCCCCUCUCGAGCUCCGUAUUAGAUUUCACCCGAUCGGCUCCGUUGCAUUGAGCUAUGGCACCAGGUGCGUCUCUUUUCUUUGUUUUGUCUGCGGCUAAGAUGUUGUCUUGAAAGUUGGUAUUGAUGUUGUUUCUUUUACUCCGAGUUCGUUCUUCCAGAGGGAUUCAAUUUUUGUUUGUUUGUUCAUUGGAUCCUUUGAGAAAUUAAAUUUGGGUAGUGUAUUUGCUGUGGAGUUGAAGGUUUCGUUCUGUGAAGAGAUUAAUAAUGAAUGGAUUGGCAUUUCGUUGUUCCGAUAGGGGCAAAAAAAUAUCUUUUUUAGGUGUAGUGUAUAAUAGUAGGUUUAGGGUGACCUUGAACUGUUUUAAUAGGGAGCCUUUCUUUGUUUACUAGUUUUUUCUCCCCCUCUAGCUCCAACAACGAUUUGGUUUGCUGGUGAUAUUGCUCUGGGCGGAGAAUUUUUCUUGUUGAAGAAGUAGAGAAUGAGACAAAUAUUUGGGCAUUAGCUUUUUCUCAGAGAUAUUUUGCUUCUUUUACUCAUAUUUGUGCUCCAUUACUUCUAGUAUAAUUUGGUGAGAGUAACUCAUUGAUGGCUGAUCAUUUCAGUGAAUCUUCUAUUAUCUUUUAUUUUUCUGUUUGAGGAAUUCUUUUUAAGUUUGUAGGUCAUGAAUAUAAGCUAUGUCUGGGCAAACCAGAAAGUAGGCACUGCUCCAUGUUAAUGCUCUGAGUGAUGCUGAAAGAAGCACGAGUUGUGUCACCACUCAGACUUGUAAGAAUGGUCAUAGACGAUUACCUUUUGUGGUCACUAGAGUAGAUCUGGAAAAGGGUCGCCAAUAGUGUCAGAAUCCAUCUGUGAUUCUGGCACGAGGUAAAUUAGCAAGAAAAUGACAUCUGCUUAUAAGAACUGCAGGAAGACCUAUGUCAAAAUUUGAAAACCUUCCUUUCCUGAAAAAAGAGGCUAAGGUAAAAUCUUUGCAGCAAACAGAUGCUCAUGUGACCAGUGACCAUCCUUUGAAGCUUAAAGAGCACAGAUUAGAUAUUGGAGAUGAAAAUUAUGAUUUGUUGGGAUAUGAAGUUUACUCUGGGAAACUUGUUCUAGAUAAUAAAAACAAAGGCACAACUACUGAUGAACAAAUUGGAUCAAGGAUUGGAAACUCUGAUAGUAUUGAUGCAAAGCUUUCAAGCAAAGCCCUAGCUUGGGGUUCCCAUGUGCUACAUGUUGGCGAUGUCAUAUCACAUCUAAUCCAUAGGAAGCCGUAAGGUGGGUCCAGAGCUUUGCAGAUCUCCAAUGCUACAUAAACUGCUUGCCACAUCUAAUAGUAUCUUGCAAGAAGCAGUCUACAAAUGUAGUGACAUCUGACCCUCUGUAUGUCAUUCCAUAUAUAAAAUGCAAAAGUCAACCAAAGAUAUUAGUGAUUUUGAAUCCUCGUUCUGGGCAUGGUCGUUCAAGUAAAGUAUUCCAUAAUAAAGUUGAGCCAAUAUUUAAGGUGUGACAGGUCUUCUACAUUCUUGACUAGAAAAUAGUAGAAACUAAAAAAUUGCUUCAAUUAUUGAAAAUCUAACACUAUUAUAAAUGUUUAGGCUUGUUUAUUCACUGAGAAACUUAUUGACAGCUUGUAGGCUUCGAAAUGGAAGUGGUUAAAACAGAAUAUGCUGGUCAUGCAAGAGAACUUGCUUCCACUAUAGAAAUCAACACCUACCCUAAUGGAAUAGUAUGUGUUGGAGGAGAUGGCAUUGUGAAUGAGGUACUUAAUGGUCUUUUGAGCAGAGAUAAACAAAAGGAUGCACUUUCUAUUCCAAUUGGCAUUAUUCCUGCUGAUUUAGAGAAAUUCACUAUUCUAGACUAUUUUGGGGGUUAGGGAUCCCCCAAAAUAUCUAUUACCUUUUGAUGUUGUAAAAAAAAUAUUUGUAUAUUUUAUGGAUACUGUUGUAAGAAGAAUAUUUGUGUAAUUUGUGGAUACGGACUUGAUGUGUACAAUAUCUAUU
RNA transcript from Zingiber officinale, 2355 nucleotides. It is a transcript of the gene named sphingoid long-chain bases kinase 1-like, with no coding region annotated. NCBI's taxonomy places the organism in Eukaryota, Viridiplantae, Streptophyta, Magnoliopsida, Zingiberales, Zingiberaceae. The transcript has 4 exons. The record is from RefSeq and is a predicted model, not a curated record.